This 211-nucleotide unclassified non-coding RNA is filed under the name plant metagenome. Its description in RNAcentral is "partial contains small subunit ribosomal RNA, internal transcribed spacer 1, and 5.8S ribosomal RNA". The record is from RNAcentral.
UUUCCGUAGGUGAACCUGCGGAAGGAUCAUUCAUAAUAAAGUGUUUUAUGGCACUUUUUAAAAAUCCAUAUCCACCUUGUGUGCAAUGUUAGAUCUCGUCAAUCUUGGCGAGAUUUUUAUACAUCAACUCAUUUUUUAACUAAUUUGUCUGAAAAAUAUUAUGAAUGCUUAAUUCAAAAUACAACUUUCAACAACGGAUCUCUUGGCUCUC